This 301-nucleotide ribosomal RNA is filed under the name uncultured bacterium. RNAcentral describes it as "partial 16S ribosomal RNA". It matches the Rfam family "Bacterial small subunit ribosomal RNA", at positions 509 to 807 of the family's 1533-position model. The record is from RNAcentral.
CAGCCGCCGCGGUAAUACGAAGGGUGCAAGCGUUACUCGGAAUUACUGGGCGUAAAGCGUGCGUGGGUGGUGGUUUAAGUCCGUUGUGAAAGCCCUGGGCUCAACCUGGGAAUUGCAGUGGAUACUGGGUCACUAGAGUGUGGUAGAGGAUAGUGGAAUUUCCGGUGUAGCAGUGAAAUGCGUAGAGAUCGGAAGGAACAUCUGUGGCGAAGGCGACUAUCUGGGCCAACACUGACACUGAGGCACGAAAGCGUGGGGAGCAAACAGGAUUAGAUACCCCAGUAGUCCCUGUCUCUUAUAC